CUUAACACAUGCAAGUCGAACGGAAAGGCCCUGCUUUUGUGGGGUGCUCGAGUGGCGAACGGGUGAGUAACACGUGAGUAACCUGCCCUUGACUUUGGGAUAACUUCAGGAAACUGGGGCUAAUACCGGAUAGGAGCUCCUGCUGCAUGGUGGGGGUUGGAAAGUUUCGGCGGUUGGGGAUGGACUCGCGGCUUAUCAGCUUGUUGGUGGGGUAGUGGCUUACCAAGGCUUUGACGGGUAGCCGGCCUGAGAGGGUGACCGGCCACAUUGGGACUGAGAUACGGCCCAGACUCCUACGGGAGGCAGCAGUGGGGAAUAUUGCACAAUGGGCGGAAGCCUGAUGCAGCAACGCCGCGUGCGGGAUGACGGCCUUCGGGUUGUAAACCGCUUUCGCCUGUGACGAAGCGUGAGUGACGGUAAUGGGUAAAGAAGCACCGGCUAACUACGUGCCGGCAGCCGCGGUGAUACGUAGGGUGCGAGCGUUGUCCGGAUUUAUUGGGCGUAAAGGGCUCGUAGGUGGUUGAUCGCGUCGGAAGUGUAAUCUUGGGGCUUAACCCUGAGCGUGCUUUCGAUACGGGUUGACUUGAGGAAGGUAGGGGAGAAUGGAAUUCCUGGUGGAGCGGUGGAAUGCGCAGAUAUCAGGAGGAACACCAGUGGCGAAGGCGGUUCUCUGGGCCUUUCCUGACGCUGAGGAGCGAAAGCGUGGGGAGCGAACAGGCUUAGAUACCCUGGUAGUCCACGCUGUAAACGGUGGGUACUAGGUGUGGGGUCCAUUCCACGGGUUCCGUGCCGUAGCUAACGCUUUAAGUACCCCGCCUGGGGAGUACGGCCGCAAGGCUAAAACUCAAAGGAAUUGACGGGGCCCCGCACAAGCGGCGGAGCAUGCGGAUUAAUUCGAUGCAACGCGUAGAACCUUACCUGGGUUUGACAUGGAUCGGGAGUGCUCAGAGAUGGGUGUGCCUCUUUUGGGGUCGGUUCACAGGUGGUGCAUGGCUGUCGUCAGCUCGUGUCGUGAGAUGUUGGGUUAAGUCCCGCAACGAGCGCAACCCUUGUUCACUGUUGCCAGCACGUUAUGGUGGGGACUCAGUGGAGACCGCCGGGGUCAACUCGGAGGAAGGUGGGGAUGACGUCAAGUCAUCAUGCCCCUUAUGUCCAGGGCUUCACGCAUGCUACAAUGGCUGGUACAGAGAGUGGCGAGCCUGUGAGGGUGAGCGAAUCUCGGAAAGCCGGUCUCAGUUCGGAUUGGGGUCUGCAACUCGACCUCAUGAAGUCGGAGUCGCUAGUAAUCGCAGAUCAGCAACGCUGCGGUGAAUACGUUCCCGGGGCUUGUACACACCGCCCGUCAAGUCAUGAAAGUUGGUAACACCCGAAGCCGGUGGCCUAACCGUUGUGGGGGAGCCGUCGAAGGUGGGACUGGUGAUUAGGACUAAGUCA
RNAcentral lists this ribosomal RNA (1434 nucleotides) under uncultured organism. RNAcentral's name for it is "partial small subunit ribosomal RNA". It matches the Rfam family "Bacterial small subunit ribosomal RNA". The record is from RNAcentral.